This 980-nucleotide ribosomal RNA is filed under the name uncultured bacterium. RNAcentral's name for it is "bacterial SSU rRNA". It matches the Rfam family "Bacterial small subunit ribosomal RNA", at positions 1 to 945 of the family's 1533-position model. The record is from RNAcentral.
CUUCGCAGUGCAGCUUGCAUGCCUGCAGGUCGACGAUUAGAGUUUGAUCAUGGCUCAGAUUGAACGCUGGCGGCAGGCCUAACACAUGCAAGUCGAGCGGUAGAGAGGUGCUUGCAUCUCUUGAGAGCGGCGGACGGGUGAGUAAUGCCUAGGAAUCUGCCUGGUAGUGGGGGAUAACGUUCGGAAACGGACGCUAAUACCGCAUACGUCCUACGGGAGAAAGCAGGGGACCUUCGGGCCUUGCGCUAUCAGAUGAGCCUAGGUCGGAUUAGCUAGUUGGUGGGGUAAUGGCUCACCAAGGCGACGAUCCGUAACUGGUCUGAGAGGAUGAUCAGUCACACUGGAACUGAGACACGGUCCAGACUCCUACGGGAGGCAGCAGUGGGGAAUAUUGGACAAUGGGCGAAAGCCUGAUCCAGCCAUGCCGCGUGUGUGAAGAAGGUCUUCGGAUUGUAAAGCACUUUAAGUUGGGAGGAAGGGUUGUAGAUUAAUACUCUGCAAUUUUGACGUUACCGACAGAAUAAGCACCGGCUAACUCUGUGCCAGCAGCCGCGGUAAUACAGAGGGUGCAAGCGUUAAUCGGAAUUACUGGGCGUAAAGCGCGCGUAGGUGGUUAGUUAAGUUGGAUGUGAAAUCCCCGGGCUCAACCUGGGAACUGCAUUCAAAACUGACUGACUAGAGUAUGGUAGAGGGUGGUGGAAUUUCCUGUGUAGCGGUGAAAUGCGUAGAUAUAGGAAGGAACACCAGUGGCGAAGGCGACCACCUGGACUGAUACUGACACUGAGGUGCGAAAGCGUGGGGAGCAAACAGGAUUAGAUACCCUGGUAGUCCACGCCGUAAACGAUGUCAACUAGCCGUUGGGAGCCUUGAGCUCUUAGUGGCGCAGCUAACGCAUUAAGUUGACCGCCUGGGGAGUACGGCCGCAAGGUUAAAACUCAAAUGAAUUGACGGAAUCUCUAGAGGAUCCCCGGGUACCGAGC